Molecule: long non-coding RNA, 1600 nt
Organism: Myotis daubentonii (Daubenton's bat)
Lineage: Eukaryota; Metazoa; Chordata; Mammalia; Chiroptera; Vespertilionidae
Source: RefSeq, a predicted model, not a curated record
UCACCCACAUGGUCCUUCGAGGUGCUGCCGCCGCCGCCCGACCCGCGCCUUCGCGCCACUUCGCGCCCUCGGGCGAGGCCGGGGGGGUGGGGACGGCCUCCGCCGCGCGGCCGAGCCUCGCGCCCCUCGCCGAGCCCCUUCGCGGGCCGGGCCGGCCGCACCCCCCCGGGCCCGGGGCCUCGGGGUCGUAGUCAAGCGGGGGCGGGUGGGGAGGCGGGCGCCGGAGCCCACGGCGGGCGAGGCGAAGAUGGUGGCGGCGACUUCUCCCGUCAUUCAUACACGUGGACCUAACUGCGCCAAGAGCUUAUCCUAAGGAUAGUUGGCUGAAAACGAAGUUUUCGCAAGUGGUAAAUGAAACAUCCCUAUUGAGGUAAUACGGGAAGCAGCAACAAACACCAAAGUGAUUUACCUGUAUUAAUAAUUUAGUGUCUAUGGCAUCUGUAUUUGUAUCCUAAUUUCACCAUUGAGGAAGUGAAAUCAGCAAAAUUUCUUUGCAAGAAGAAUAUAAAACUGAUCCAGCAACAGCAGGUCCAGUCUGCACACCAUCAUACUCGAACUCUACCAGCAUCUCUCCCUCUGACCUGCCUUCCUCUUCCACUUUUAAGGAUCUUGUGAUUUCAUUGAGUUCACCCAGAUAUCCCAGACUAAUCAUUUUAAGGUCAGCUGAUUAGCAGCCUGAAUUCCAUUUGCUGCCUUAAUUCCCCUUUACCAUAUAAAUUUAUAUUCACAGGGAUUAGAAUGAAAAGAUUUUGGUGCCCAUUCUGCCUGUCACACCUUCUGGAAUUAGGUCACUUGGGACUAUUAUGUUCUGGGCCCGCAUAACUACUUGGGAUUUUAUUCAGACUGAGUUUAAGUAAAAUUAAGAAAAAUACAAUUCAGUGAGACAAAAUAGAACAAACAGGCUGUCCCCUGUUACUUAAAUGCCAAGUUUAUAGAGGUUCUAAGAAUAAUUAUUCAUAAAUACAAUAACCAGUUGUAAUCCUUUUUCUGAGUUAAACAUUUUCUCUGGAAAGGCUCAUAGUAUUAUAAACCUAUUAUAGGAAAACUAAAGAACUAGUAGGUUAUUUAAAGAAAAGAAUGGUUAAGUGAAAUGUUAGCCAAUAAAGCAUUAAAGAACUUCACGAAGUGAAGAUGCAGAAUAUGAGGAACUCAUCAGGGUCUAAAAUGGGAUUCUCAAACAGGAAUGAGCCUCUAUACAGAUAGAGAAGGUAAAUAAGCCAUUUAUCCUUUGCAUUUUUACAGCACCUAAAGAGUGUUUUUAUUCAAAGCAACCACUAGCAGCUAAAACACUAAACUUUGAAAUCACUAGAAAAAGGAAGGAGAAAACAACUAAGCAUUUUAAUGGAAAUUUAGCACAAAUUUUAAGUAGCUUGUGUUAUAACUCAAAACAGAUUCCAUAACCUGCAAGCCUUGAUUAUUUGUAACCAUUGAAAAUAUAGGCAGUGGGUAGGUUGGCCAUGCUCAGAGAUAAGUCCUGGACCUUACUUUGGUGCUCUCUGGCCCAGCAAUAAGAUCUAUUAUAGAUCAGCUUCUUGAAAACAAAACUUUUGUAUUUCUCAAAACAACUGUGCAAUAGGCAUUAAAUAUUUGUUAAAUGAAU